This is a long non-coding RNA of Sarcophilus harrisii (Tasmanian devil), 1752 nucleotides long. The record is from Ensembl. Lineage: Eukaryota; Metazoa; Chordata; Mammalia; Dasyuromorphia; Dasyuridae.
GUGCGGGGGGGUGGGGGGGGGGGGGGGGGGGGGGGGGGGGGGGGGGGAGCCUGGGACAAAGGUCUGGAAGCUGGAGCUGUAACGCUGCCCUGGAUGGGUGGCCAGGGGACAGCCUGAGGGGGCGCCGGCCCGGGCCAGAAUCAAAAAUCGAGGUUUCUCGGAAAAGGCAGUUUAGGGACCUUGACUGGGCCGGGAGGGAAAACACGGGGGGGUGGCAACCUGAGGAAGGGUUACUGGGGGCUGAGGAGCUGCCAUUGGAAAGGCCUUGAAUGACAGGUUGAAGAGCCUGCCGUUGAGAACGGUGCCCCCUUGCUCGGGAAGCCGCCCCGGACCUCCCUCCCUCUGCUGCCGGUGGAAGCCUCUCCAAGCCUAAUUUGGAAGCGACGGCGCCGAGAACUUGGGGCUGGGCCGGGGCCGGACCCUGGUCCCCAGCCCGGGGGUCUGUGUGCCGGCCGUCAGUCCGCGUCUCGCUCUCCCCGGGUCCAAGCCCUCCCGGCCCGGGCCAGGAACGAGACCCCCACUCUCCGGAGCCCCCCGCGCCGCUGCUGAGGGUCAGCCGCCUCCUUCGCCUGGCGGGGCGCCCGGGUCCGUUCUCCCUUUGUCCGGGUCCGGCCCGGCCCGCGCGCCCCGCGGUCCCGGCCAAGCCGAGCCGGAGGGGCGGGGGCGGUCCGGCCCCAACCUCUUGUCCCGGGCCGUCGGGCCCCCUCCGCCCCCGCCCUCCUCUCUCGGGUUUCCUCUUCCUCCCGCCUCCUUCGCUCGACGCCGGUGUGUGCGGGGCCCCGGCGGAGCCCGGGCCGGGAGGAAGGAGGAGAAGGGGUGGCGGCGGCCGGGCUGGGCAGAGCGGAGCUCGCGAGGGCCCGGCUCGGGGAGACCUUGGGGGGCUUCUCGCCCUGCUUCCCCGCCUCGGCUUCGGCCGCGAACCCCGGGCGCCGCCGCCUCGGCUGCUUGGUCCCGCGUCUGCCCGGCUCCCGAGGCGUCCCCGCCGCCAGCCCGGACCCCCGAAAGUCCGGAGACUCCAGGCCCGGGGCAGUCCUGCAGUCCCGCCGCGGCCCGGGCGGCCAGAUCCCCAGGCGCCAGCACGGGUUCUCUGGGUGCUCCCCCUGACCUCCCCUUGCUCCUGGGCGGCCCCAUGGCUCAGCCCAUUCCAUCCCCUGGGGAGAAACGUCUCGGGCCACGUCCUCAUCCCUGACCCGGGACCCCCGCCCAGCCGCAGACAGUGGGCCUAAGGGCAGAGAGCCUGGGAUGGGGCCAGUGCUUGGCGGCCGCCCCACGACGGACGGACUGACCGACAUCAGCCAGGCUGCACCCUCUUGCCGGCCGAUGAGCUCACGGUUCUGCCCUUUGCCGGGCAGCUGUGGAGAGACGUGGUGCCACUGCCAGAGUCCGGGCUGGGCCCCCGACACCCCUCAGAGAGAAGGUGGAGGGAAGUCACAUGGGCAGGACCAGUGUGGAGAGAACUGGGCGUUGGGUGCCCGCGGAUGCCCAAGACUUCCAGGGCCGGUGUGAGCGGCCAACAGCCCAGCAUGGAGCCCGGCGUCCGGGGCACCGGGCAGAUGGCCUUCCUCAGCAAUCUGCUGGCGGCUUACUCCUUCAUCAGUGAGCACCCUGAGCGCGCGGCCCUGUGCUUCGUGUCCGGCGUGUGCGUGGGGCUCGUGCUCACGCUGGCCGCCUUGGUGCUGACCGUGUCCUGCCGCGCCGACUGCCGGCCGCGGCGCGGGAAGAAGGGCCCGGCCGGGCGCCGCGGCGGCAGCU